AGCGAACGUUUGCGGCGGGCCUAACACAUGCAAGUCGAACGGGCUAGCAAUAGUCAGUGGCGCACGGGUGCGUAACACGUGGGUAAUCAACCCUUCAGCUCGGGAUAACGCCUUGAAAGGGGCGCUAAUACCGGAUGCGACGCGAGGAGCCUCGGCGCUUCGCGGGAAAGAUUCGCAAGGAUCACUGAAGGACGAGCCUGCGGCCCAUCAGCUAGUUGGUGAGGUAAGAGCUCACCAAGGCGAAGACGGGUAGCUGGUCUGAGAGGAUGAUCAGCCACACUGGAACUGAGACACGGUCCAGACUCCUACGGGAGGCGGCAGUGGGGAAUAUUGCGCAAUGGGCGAAAGCCUGACGCAGCCACGCCGCGUGAGCGAUGAAGGCCUCGGUC
This 389-nucleotide ribosomal RNA is filed under the name uncultured bacterium. RNAcentral's name for it is "bacterial SSU rRNA". It matches the Rfam family "Bacterial small subunit ribosomal RNA", at positions 29 to 424 of the family's 1533-position model. The record is from RNAcentral.